This 497-nucleotide ribosomal RNA is filed under the name uncultured bacterium. RNAcentral's name for it is "partial 16S ribosomal RNA". It matches the Rfam family "Bacterial small subunit ribosomal RNA", at positions 28 to 507 of the family's 1533-position model. The record is from RNAcentral.
GAUGAACGCUGGCGGCGUGCCUAAUACAUGCAAGUCGAGCGAACGGACGAGAAGCUUGCUUCUCUGAUGUUAGCGGCGGACGGGUGAGUAACACGUGGAUAACCUACCUAUAAGACUGGGAUAACUUCGGGAAACCGGAGCUAAAACCGGAUGAUAUUUUGAACCGCAUGGUUCAAAAGUGAAAGACGGUCUUGCUGUCACUUAUAGAUGGAUCCGCGCUGCAUUAGCUAGUUGGUAAGGUAACGGCUUACCAAGGCAACGAUGCAUAGCCGACCUGAGAGGGUGAUCGGCCACACUGGAACUGAGACACGGUCCAGACUCCUACGGGAGGCAGCAGUAGGGAAUCUUCCGCAAUGGGCGAAAGCCUGACGGAGCAACGCCGCGUGAGUGAUGAAGGUCUUCGGAUCGUAAAACUCUGUUAUUAGGGAAGAACAUAUGUGUAAGUAACUGUGCACAUCUUGACGGUACCUAAUCAGAAAGCCACGGCUAACUACGUG